Actinia tenebrosa (Australian red waratah sea anemone) is the source of this 989-nucleotide long non-coding RNA. The record is from RefSeq and is a predicted model, not a curated record. Lineage: Eukaryota; Metazoa; Cnidaria; Anthozoa; Actiniaria; Actiniidae.
AUAUUUGGUUAAAAGAAUCCCAUUAUAAGAUACCACGUUAAGUGUACCCUCUCGGACAGUUGCAAAAAGAUGUCUUCAAACACACGUCCAUCGAGUAAGUGAUCUCAAAGUAUCAUCUCUCUUAUCGUCAAAACUCUUUUUUUUUUCCCUCACUUGUCACCUACUUCAACUCACAUGUAUUCCCUUAUUGUUUUCCACAGCGUGUGCUACACCACUUUGUGGCAAGGAUAUAAAAAUAUCCUUAGGGCCCUGUGGGCACAUGCUUUGCCAUGCAUGUGCUCACAGAGCAUUCGACAUGGACAAAUGUCCAAUAUGUCUUAGUGAAAUAGCCGUGGUAAGUCUCGUUAUGGGGUCUAUGAUGGACCCAAAGCUUCUCGACGCCAUUCAUAUGGCGUCCGAAAUCGUCUUCAACAACAACAAAAAAAAAGUGAAAACAAGAUCCACAUCAAAUUUCAAAAGCUAGAUGCUCUUGCUCCACAAGAAGUGUACCGAAAAAAACAUCACCGUCUUGCAAAUUGCAGUUCAUCCAAGAAUGCAAAGACUAUACAAACUUUUAAAACUUUGACUAAGAAACUCUAGUCUCGUUCCCUCCUACUUUUUUUUCUUUCUUCUAAUUUCAUUGUAAAAAAAGAAGUUAAGGGUAAGGCGUAUGGGUUUCUUAAAACAAAAACUAUUGGCGUCAUCGUAACUUAGAAAUGUAAACCUCAGUACGAAGAAAUUGAAAAAAAGUGUCACUUAGUGAUAGGUUUGUGUGUGUGUGUGAGAGACCGAGUUUGCGUAAUGAAAAACAAAAGCUGAAGGAUAUUUCAUAUGGAAAGGGUGAAUGUGAAAAAACACCUUGUACGCACAACAUUUCUUAGGUUUCCUCACAUGUUUCAGAUUAAUUUCGUUUUCUUCGUGCUACUAAUUCGUGGGAAAAUGUGAAUAGUGAUACAAAAACUAUUAGAGUCAUGGUAACUUAGAAAUGUAAACCUCAGUAAGAAGAAAUU